Molecule: long non-coding RNA, 281 nt
Organism: Cyprinus carpio (common carp)
Lineage: Eukaryota; Metazoa; Chordata; Actinopteri; Cypriniformes; Cyprinidae
Exons: 3
Source: RefSeq, a predicted model, not a curated record
UAACAUCUCUUAGAUAAAGCAGACCGGUACGCUUAUGGAAACAGUGACGACCUGGACUGGGAUCCAAAGACAAAAGACAUUGCAGAUGCAUCUGAACACACAUUCUCAUCUAGAAAAGAGAAAGACCCGUCCUGUAAGGCAGUUCUUCUGGCUGUCCUUAGUGUCUCUCUGCUGGUGGCUCUGCUGGCUCUGUGUGUACUGGGAAUUCUCUAUUCCCAACUACUGAGGUCAUCUGAUUUGUUAAAAGAGCAAAACAGAAAUGCUGCAGUCAACAUUGAAAU